CCUACGGGUGGCUGCAGUCAGGAAUAUUGCGCAAUGGAGGAAACUCUGACGCAGCGACGCCGCGUGGGUGAUGAAGGCCUUCGGGUCGUAAAGCCCUGUCGGAGGGGAAGAAAAGCCUGCUGGCUAAUAUCCAGUAGGCCUUUGACGGUACCCUCAAAGGAAGCACCGGCUAACUCCGUGCCAGCAGCCGCGGUAAGACGGAGGGUGCAAGCGUUGUUCGGAUUGACUGGGCGUAAAGGGCGUGUAGGCGGUUGGUCAAGUCUGGUGUGAAAGCCCGGGGCUCAGCUCCGGAAGUGCAUCGGAAACUAGCCGGCUGGAGCGCGAUAGAGGAGGGCGGAAUUCCUGGUGUAGCGGUGAAAUGCGUAGAUAUCAGGAGGAACACCGGCGGCGAAGGCGGCCCUCUGGAUCGUUGCUGACGCUGAGACGCGAAAGCGUGGGGA
This 440-nucleotide ribosomal RNA is filed under the name uncultured bacterium. RNAcentral describes it as "bacterial SSU rRNA". It matches the Rfam family "Bacterial small subunit ribosomal RNA", at positions 338 to 767 of the family's 1533-position model. The record is from RNAcentral.